GGAAGUGAACCAUCUCAGUACCCGAAGGAAGAGAAAACAACCGUGAUUCCGAAAGUAGUGGCGAGCGAAAUCGGAAGAGCCUAAACCAGGCGAUUCGCAAGGAGAGCCUGGGGUUGCAGGGCCACAAUAAUCAACUGUCCUUUCUCGAAAGGGAGAGCGCAGUUGGUUAAAACAAGGGAUAGAAGAGCGUUAAUCGAACGGUCUGGAAAGGCCGGCCAAAGAGCGUGACAGCCGCGUAGGUGAAAAUGCAAUUCUCCUUUCAGUGGUACCUAAGUAGGGCGGGGCACGAGAAACCCUGCUUGAAUCUGCCGGGACCAUCCGGUAAGGCUAAAUACUCACUUGCGACCGAUAGUGAACCAGUACCGUGAGGGAAAGGUGAAAAGAACCCCUGCGAGGGGAGUGAAAUAGUACCUGAAACCACACGCUUACAAGCAGUUGGAGGGCUAUGCUCCGCAAGGAGAAUGCCUGACAUCGUGCCUAUUGCAUAAUGAGCUGGCUAGUUAUUCUCAGUGGCAAGGUUAACCGAAAGGGAGCCGAAGCGAAAGCGAGUCUGAAGAGGGCGAUGGAGUCGCUGGGAAUAGACGCGAAGCGGGAUGAUCUACCCUUGGCCAGGAUGAAGUCCGUGUAACAGCGGAUGGAGGUCCGAACCAGUGUUGGUUGAAAACAGCUUGGAUGAGCUGAGGGUAGGGGUGAAAGGCUAAUCAAAUUCCGUGAUAGCUCGUUCUCUCCGAAAUAGCUUUAGGGCUAGCCUCUCGUGGUCCGUCGCGGUGGUAGAAAACUGAUUGGACUAGGGGCCUUCCCAGGUUACCGAAUCCAACCAAACUGUGAAUGCCGUGAAUGUGUAGCGAGGGAGUCAGACAGUGGGGGCUAAGCUUCAUUGUCGAAAGGGAAACAGCCCAGACCGUCAACUAAGGUCCCCAAAUCCAUGCUCAGUGGGAAAGGAAGUCGGGACGCUCAGACAGCCAGGAGGUUGGCUUAGAAGCAGCCAUCCUUUAAAGAAAGCGUAACAGCUCACUGGUCGAGCGGCUCGGCGCCGACAAUAUAACGGGGCUCAAGCAUGGUACCGAAGUUACGGAAUCGUUCUUCGGAACGAUUGGUAGGAGAGCGUUCUCAACCGCAGUGAAGGUCUAGCGAAAGCAGGGCUGGAGCGUUGAGAAGUGACUCUGCCAGCAUAAGUAGCGAGAAACCAGGUGCGAACCCUGGUCGCCGUAAGUCUAAGGAUUCCUGAGAAAGGUUAAUCCGCUCAGGGUUAGUCGGAGCCUAACGCGAGGCCGAAGGCGUAGCGGAUGGACAGCAGGUUAAUAUUCCAGCACUACCUUGUUUCGAUCAAGACCGAAGGGGGGACGCGGACCGUAAGCUCUGGUGCGCAAUGGUUACAAUCCAGAGUGAAGGGAGAUCCGGACAGGCAAAUCCGCCGGAUCGUCCGCCAGGAAAAGCCUCUAAGGAGAAGCAAGGUAUCCGUACCACAAACCGACACAGGUGGACGAGAAGAAUAUUCUAAGGCGCUCGGGUGAUGGUUUGUUCAGGAACUAGGCACAUUAGCUCCGUAACUUCGGGAGAAGGAGUGCCCACCUAAGACGUGGGCCGCAGUGAAUCGUCUCAGGCGACUGUUUAACAAAAACACAGGUCUCUGCAAAGUCGAAAACGACGUAUAGGGGCUGACGCCUGCCCGGUGCCGGAAGGUUAAAGGGAGAGGUCAGGGUUUUCGUAAGAGAGCCCGAAGCUUUGAACUGAAGCCCCGGUGAACGGCGGCCGUAACUAUAACGGUCCUAAGGUAGCGAAAUUCCUUGUC
Molecule: ribosomal RNA, 1792 nt
Filed under: uncultured Acidobacteriota bacterium
Lineage: Bacteria; Pseudomonadati; Acidobacteriota
Description: bacterial LSU rRNA
Rfam family: Bacterial large subunit ribosomal RNA
Source: RNAcentral